GACUCACGCGGGAAUCUUACCGGGUCCGGACACACUGAGGAUUGACAGGUUUCGAGAGUUUUUUUGGAGUUCGCUCCAGAAUGCUCUCUUAAAUAUGCUAGUCCUUUCAUGAUUAUGUGAUAGGUGGUGCAUGGCCGUUCUUAGUUCGUGGAGUGAUCUGUCUGCUUAAUUGCGUUUCACUAAAGGCGUCAUUAUAUUUUUGUGCUUGUGUUUGACCCCUCUUUCUUCGGAUUGAGCGCGUGUCUUUCACACACAAUUACUUUGACGUCUGAAA
Molecule: ribosomal RNA, 274 nt
Filed under: Elphidium sp. S4
Lineage: Eukaryota; Foraminifera; Rotaliida; Elphidiidae
Description: partial small subunit ribosomal RNA
Rfam family: Eukaryotic small subunit ribosomal RNA
Source: RNAcentral